GAGUCUAUGAGGAUAUCAGUUAAAAAUAACACCAUCUUUCGGGACUGAUUGGCCUUCUGGCCUUGAUGUUAUAAAUUCUGCAAUUCUGAGACUA
Small nucleolar RNA from Impatiens glandulifera, 94 nucleotides. RefSeq annotates it as small nucleolar RNA SNORD96 family. The transcript has a single exon. The record is from RefSeq and is a predicted model, not a curated record. Lineage: Eukaryota; Viridiplantae; Streptophyta; Magnoliopsida; Ericales; Balsaminaceae.